UGCAGAUAUGGCUCAGUGGUAGAGCAUUUGCCUAGCAUGUACAAAGCUCUAGGUUCAAUCACUGGGGGUAA
This 71-nucleotide transfer RNA is filed under the name Marmota monax (woodchuck). RNAcentral's name for it is "tRNA.Ala". The record is from RNAcentral. Lineage: Eukaryota; Metazoa; Chordata; Mammalia; Rodentia; Sciuridae.